Small nucleolar RNA from Aplysia californica (California sea hare), 71 nucleotides. RefSeq annotates it as small nucleolar RNA SNORD34. The transcript has a single exon. NCBI's taxonomy places the organism in Eukaryota, Metazoa, Mollusca, Gastropoda, Aplysiida, Aplysiidae. The record is from RefSeq and is a predicted model, not a curated record.
GUGUCCUAUGAUGAUUAUUCAUUUACCUACAUUGUCUGAAGUCAUGAUAGAUAAAUAUCACUGAGGACAGC